Molecule: long non-coding RNA, 288 nt
Organism: Pantherophis guttatus
Lineage: Eukaryota; Metazoa; Chordata; Lepidosauria; Squamata; Colubridae
Source: RefSeq, a predicted model, not a curated record
CAGCCAGGCAGACUCUACACAAACAACAUAGCUGAAUUAGAAGAAAUACAGAGAGUAAGAAGAUGGAAAGGAUGAACAGAUGCAUCUGAUUAGUUGUUAGAAACAGGAUGCUGGACUGGACUCAGCAGGACGAUUUGGAGAACAAUGAGGACUAUUGAGGAAAAAAUCCAAUCCUUCAAUGAAAAAUAAAACACGUCUUUGCAGACCUGUCUCCAAAGGGUCCAACCAGUAAGGCUUGCCUUCUCUGCACUGAUGAAAAGAGCAAGAAGCAAAAAUCCAAAUAGGUCC